This 218-nucleotide long non-coding RNA is filed under the name Elaeis guineensis (African oil palm). RNAcentral describes it as "long non-coding RNA (EGUI_LNC007311)". The record is from RNAcentral. Lineage: Eukaryota; Viridiplantae; Streptophyta; Magnoliopsida; Arecales; Arecaceae.
GAAUUAUUUUUAAAAAAUUAUUUAAAAAAUAAAUAAAAUAAAAAUAAAUAAAAUAAUAAAAUAAAAUAAAAUAUUUAAAAAUCUAUUUUUUUCAUUACAAAAUAAUUAUUUUAAAAUAUUUUUUAAAAUUAGAAGGUUUUUUAACAAAAAAAUAGAUUUUUAAAAUAAUAAUAAAAUAUUAUUUUAAAAAGUAAUAUGGAAAAAAGCUUAAGGACCAG